Molecule: ribosomal RNA, 492 nt
Filed under: uncultured bacterium
Lineage: Bacteria
Description: partial 16S ribosomal RNA
Rfam family: Bacterial small subunit ribosomal RNA
Source: RNAcentral
AGUGAACGCUGGCGGUAGGCCUAACACAUGCAAGUCGAACGGCAGCACAGUAAGAGCUUGCUCUUACGGGUGGCGAGUGGCGGACGGGUGAGGAAUACAUCGGAAUCUACUUUUUCGUGGGGGAUAACGUAGGGAAACUUACGCUAAUACCGCAUACGACCUACGGGUGAAAGCAGGGGAUCUUCGGACCUUGCGCGAUUGAAUGAGCCGAUGUCGGAUUAGCUAGUUGGCGGGGUAAAGGCCCACCAAGGCGACGAUCCGUAGCUGGUCUGAGAGGAUGAUCAGCCACACUGGAACUGAGACACGGUCCAGACUCCUACGGGAGGCAGCAGUGGGGAAUAUUGGGCAAUGGGCGAAAGCCUGAUCCAGCCAUACCGCGUGGGUGAAGAAGGACUUCGGGUUGUAAAGCCCUUUUGUUGGGAAAGAAAAGCAGCAGGUUAAUAACCCGCUGUUCUGACGGUACCCAAAGAAUAAGCACCGGCUAACUUCGUG